Molecule: ribosomal RNA, 375 nt
Filed under: uncultured bacterium
Lineage: Bacteria
Description: bacterial SSU rRNA
Rfam family: Bacterial small subunit ribosomal RNA
Source: RNAcentral
UACGUAGGGGGCAAGCGUUGUCCGGAAUUAUUGGGCGUAAAGGGCGCGUAGGCGGCCAAUCAAGUCUGGUGUGAAAGUGCGGGGCUCAACCCCGUAAAGCAUUGGAAACUGGUUGGCUUGAGUGCAGGAGAGGAAAGUGGAAUUCCUAGUGUAGCGGUGAAGUGCGUAGAUAUUAGGAGGAACACCAGUGGCGAAGGCGACUUUCUGGACUGUAACUGACGCUGAGGCGCGAAAGCGUGGGGAGCGAACAGGAUUAGAUACCCUGGUAGUCCACGCCGUAAACGAUGAGUGCUAGGUGUAGAGGGUAUCGACCCCUUCUGUGCCGCAGUUAACACAAUAAGCACUCCGCCUGGGGAGUACGGCCGCAAGGUUGAA